Molecule: ribosomal RNA, 878 nt
Filed under: uncultured archaeon
Lineage: Archaea
Description: bacterial SSU rRNA
Rfam family: Archaeal small subunit ribosomal RNA
Source: RNAcentral
CCGCGCGGUAAACCAGCUCUUCAAGUGGUCGGGAUAAUUAUUGGGCUUAAAGUGUCCGUAGCCGGUUUAGUAAGUUCCUGGUAAAACCGGGCAGCUUAACUGUCCGUAUGCUAGGAAUACUGCUAUGCUAGAGGGCGGGAGAGGUCUGAGGUACUACAGGGGUAGGGGUGAAAUCUUAUAAUCCUUGUAGGACCACCAGUGGCGAAAGCGUCAGACUGGAACGCGCCUGACGGUGAGGGACGAAAGCCAGGGGAGCGAACCGGAUUAGAUACCCGGGUAGUCCUGGCCGUAAACGAUGCAUACUAGGCAAUGGUGCGGCCAUGAGCCGCAUCAGUACCGUAGGGAAACCGUUAAGUGUGCCGCCUGGGAAGUACGGUCGCAAGGCUAAAACUUAAAGGAAUUGGCGGGGGAGCACCACAAGGGGUGAAGCCUGCGGUUCAAUUGGACUCAACGCCGGGAAACUUACCAGGGGAGACAGCAGAAUGACAGUCAGGUUGACGACCUUACUCGACGAGCUGAGAGGAGGUGCAUGGCCGUCGCCAGUUCGUGCUGUGAGGUAUCCUGUUAAGUCAGGCAACGAACGAGAUCCGCGCCUUUAUUUGCCAUCAAGAAGUCACGACUUCGUUGGGAACACUAAAGGGACCGCCGUCGAUAAGACGGAGGAAGGAGCGGGCAAAGGCAGGUCAGUAUGCCCCGAAACCCCUGGGCUACACGCGGGCUGCAAUGGUGCGAACAAUGGGCUGUAACUCCGAAAGGAGAAACCAAUCCCGAAAUCGCAUCUCAGUGGGGAUUGUCGACUGUAACUCGUUGACAUGAACGUGGAAUCCCUAGUAAUCGCGUGUCACCAUCGCGCGGUGAAUACGUCUCUGCUCCUUGCA